RNAcentral lists this ribosomal RNA (117 nucleotides) under Candidatus Roizmanbacteria bacterium CG_4_10_14_0_8_um_filter_36_36. The record is from RNAcentral. RNAcentral also lists the same sequence under 5 other names. Lineage: Bacteria; Candidatus Roizmaniibacteriota.
CCUGGUUAUUGGAGCGACUUGGAACCACCCUUCUCCAUUCCGAACAAGGAAGUGAAACGAGUCAGCGCCGAUGAUACUCUUGCCUUCGGGUAAAGGGAAAGUAGGUCAUAGCCAGGG